GUAGUCCUGGCUGUAAACGAUGUCGACUUGGAGGUUGUGCCCUUGAGGCGUGGCUUCCGGAGCUAACGCGUUAAGUCGACCGCCUGGGGAGUACGGCCGCAAGGUUAAAACUCAAAUGAAUUGACGGGGGCCCGCACAAGCGGUGGAGCAUGUGGUUUAAUUCGAUGCAACGCGAAGAACCUUACCUGGUCUUGACAUCCACAGAACUUUCCAGAGAUGGAUUGGUGCCUUCGGGAACUGUGAGACAGGUGCUGCAUGGCUGUCGUCAGCUCGUGUUGUGAAAUGUUGGGUUAAGUCCCGCAACGAGCGCAACCCUUAUCUUUUGUUGCCAGCGGUCCGGCCGGGAACUCAAAGGAGACUGCCAGUGAUAAACUGGAGGAAGGUGGGGAUGACGUCAAGUCAUCAUGGCCCUUACGACCAGGGCUACACACGUGCUACAAUGGCGCAUACAAAGAGAAGCGACCUCGCGAGAGCAAGCGGACCUCAUAAAGUGCGUCGUAGUCCGGAUUGGAGUCUGCAACUCGACUCCAUGAAGUCGGAAUCGCUAGUAAUCGUGGAUCAGAAUGCCACGGUGAAUACGUUCCCGGGCCUUGUACACACCGCCCGUCACACCAUGGGAGUGGGUUGCAAAAGAAGUAGGUAGCUUAACCUUCGGGAGGGCGCUUACCACUUUGUGAUUCAUGACUGGGGUGAAGUCGUAACAAGGUAACCGUAGGGGAACCUGCGGCUGGAUCACCUCC
This 740-nucleotide ribosomal RNA is filed under the name uncultured bacterium. Its description in RNAcentral is "bacterial SSU rRNA". It matches the Rfam family "Bacterial small subunit ribosomal RNA", at positions 790 to 1530 of the family's 1533-position model. The record is from RNAcentral.